RNAcentral lists this small nuclear RNA (103 nucleotides) under Dasypus novemcinctus (nine-banded armadillo). Lineage: Eukaryota; Metazoa; Chordata; Mammalia; Cingulata; Dasypodidae. The record is from RNAcentral.
CUGCUUCUGCAGCAACUUUGCUAAAAUUGGAAUGAUUCAGAGAAGCUGAGCAUAGCCCUUGUGCAAGGAUGACAUGCAAAUUCAUGAAACAUUCCAUUAUUUU